AAGAGAUAUCCACAUCUUGAAGCCUGUAUAAAGAAUAGAAGCUGCACGGGCAGCUUUACACACUCCAGCACCAUCUUCCUUCAGGCAGAAUGAAAAUCCUUGUGGCAUUUCUGGUGGUGCUGACCAUCUUUGGGAUACAGUCUCAUGGAUAUGAGGUUUAUAACAUCAUCAGCCCAAACAACAAUGGUGGCAAUCUUCAAGAGACAGUGACGAUUGACAAUGAAAAAAAUAUCGCCAUUGUUAACAUCCAUGCAGGAUCAUGCUCAUCUACCACAAUUUUUGACUAUAAACAUGGCUACAUUGCAUCCAGGGUGUUCUCCCGAAGAGCCUGCUUCAUCCUGAAGAUGGACCAUCAGAACAUCCCUCCUCUGAACAAUCUCCAAAAGUACAUCUACGAGAGACAGGCUCUGAACAACAUGUUCUCCAACAAAUACACCUGGGUCAAGUAUAACCCUCUGCAGUCUCUGAUCACAGACGUGGAUUGGUUCCUGUUUGGGUCACCCAUUGAGAAACUCUGCAAACAUAUCCCCUUGUAUAAGGGUGAAGUGGUUGAAAAAACACGUGAGUACCAAUAAGUCAUUCAUUCACCAGAUGUUUUCUGAAAGCUACUGUGUGCUAGGUGCUCUGUUAGGUGCCCUGUGAAACACAAACAAAAGGGUACAGUACUCAGUUCAGUUUGCUUUGGAUAUUACUUACGUGCCAUGUGUGUAAAUUGUGCUGAAUGUUAGGAAUACAGAAACAAACUGUCUCCAAGGAACACAUAGUCUAGUGAAGAAGCUGAAGAGUAAAAAAAGGAUGGAAUAAAAGAUUCCUGGGUGCCAACGAAAAACUACUGGAUUCUUGUAUACUUUUAUAUGUAAGAAUUUCAAGUGGCACAAAGUCUUCUGGGCACUUAGAAUAACAUCUUUUGAAGAUAAUAAGAAGGAAUUCACUAAGAAAUGCUCUCAGGAUCUAGAAUAGAAUUGGUACAGGAAAGAGGAGGCACUUACAACAGGGAAUAAAAACCCUGAUUCAUCUGGGUAACAUAUGCCACUGUAGAUAUUACUGUCAUUUUUAUACAAAGUUUCUAAAUGUGGCAGAGCAGAGUGAAAGAGGUUGGGCCAACUGAUGAUGAAUACAACAAAGGAAAUUUCUCAGAGUAGUGGAAGGUAGAUAAGGAAGAAUUCAUAUUUAUUGUGUAUCUACUGCCCAGAAAAAAUUUUAAGUACUCAUUCAUAAAGUAGAUAUCUAUGUAGGUAUGCCAUUGACACAGAAUGGCAUAAUAUCACUGGGAUUGAGCCAACAAGCGUUUCCAAAAACUUUUAAAGUUUUAUUUAAGCAAAUGUAUUAUUACUCUAAUAAUUCCAAUAAUAUAUUUCUUAAUGCUCUUUCUUUGAAAAAUUUUCCCCUUUCCAGAUAAAGUUGGUGCUGGAGGCUGUGCAAAGGCUGGGCUCCUGGGCAUCUUGGGAAUUUCAAUCUGUGCAGACAUUUAUGUUUAGAACAAUCAGCUCUCUUGUUUUAUCUUUUCAAAGAAAUACAUCCUUGGUUUAUGCUCAAAAGUCAACUAAAUUCUUUCCCAAUGCCCCAACUUAUUUUGAGAUUCAGUCGGAAAACAUAAAUGCUGUAUUUACAGA
Callithrix jacchus (white-tufted-ear marmoset) is the source of this 1613-nucleotide non-coding RNA. The record is from RefSeq and is a predicted model, not a curated record. Lineage: Eukaryota; Metazoa; Chordata; Mammalia; Primates; Cebidae.